GACGAACCGUCCAAACGUUAUUCGGUAUCACUGGGCUUAAAGAGUUCGUAGGCGGCCCUGCAGGUCAGGUGUGAAAUCCCACAGCUCAACUGUGGAACUGCGCUUGAAACCGCAAGGCUUGAGGGAGAUAGAGGUGAGCGGAACAGAUGGUGGAGCGGUGAAAUGCGUUGAUAUCAUCUGGAACACCGGUGGCGAAAGCGGCUCACUGGAUCUCUUCUGACGCUGAGGAACGAAAGCUAGGGUAGCGAAC
This 250-nucleotide ribosomal RNA is filed under the name uncultured bacterium. RNAcentral's name for it is "partial 16S ribosomal RNA". It matches the Rfam family "Bacterial small subunit ribosomal RNA", at positions 524 to 773 of the family's 1533-position model. The record is from RNAcentral.